CACUUAUUCCCUCCGUCCAGUAAAAGAUGUCUCAAUUUUGAUUAAAUUUAAAUGCAUCUAUACACUAAAUCGUGUCUAAAUACAUCUAAAUUUUAACAAAUUUAAGACAUCUUUUGUUGGACGGAGAGAGUAAUAG
Brachypodium distachyon (stiff brome) is the source of this 136-nucleotide non-coding RNA. The record is from Rfam. NCBI's taxonomy places the organism in Eukaryota, Viridiplantae, Streptophyta, Magnoliopsida, Poales, Poaceae.